UACAUGGGGUGCAAACGUUGCUCGGAAUCAUUGGGCGUAAAGCGCGCGUAGGCGGUUACUUAAGUCGAAUGUGAAAGCCCUCGGCUUAACCGAGGAAGUGCAUCCGAAACUGAGUAGCUAGAGUACGAAAGAGGGUCGCGGAAUUCCCGGUGUAGAGGUGAAAUUCGUAGAUAUCGGGAGGAACACCGGUGGCGAAGGCGGCGACCUGGGUCGAUACUGACGCUGAUGCGCGAAAGCGUGGGGAGCAAACAGG
Molecule: ribosomal RNA, 253 nt
Filed under: uncultured bacterium
Lineage: Bacteria
Description: partial 16S ribosomal RNA
Rfam family: Bacterial small subunit ribosomal RNA
Source: RNAcentral